This 462-nucleotide ribosomal RNA is filed under the name Alexandrium catenella. RNAcentral describes it as "partial Bacterial small subunit ribosomal RNA". It matches the Rfam family "Bacterial small subunit ribosomal RNA", at positions 468 to 964 of the family's 1533-position model. Lineage: Eukaryota; Dinophyceae; Gonyaulacales; Pyrocystaceae. The record is from RNAcentral.
UUUGUUCAUUUUAUUGAAUGAAUACCGGUUAAUCUUGUGCCAGCAGCAGCGGUAAAGCAAGUGGUGUGAACGUUCUAUUGGUUGAUUAGGUGUAAAGAGUGAAAUGAAUGAUGAAUGUUCAAAUUUAUUAUCAGUAUAAAUUUAGGAGAUAUUUAAUUCUAGAUUUGAUGUGCUGUAGGAAUGUUAAUUGUAAUAGUGAAAUGUAUAUAUAAUUGGUAUAAAAUUUAUUUGAUAUUGGUAGCUUGAUUUAGUAGAUAUUCUAUUCACAAAAGCUUGAGGAGUGACUGGGAUUAGGGACCCCAUUAAUUCAAGUGAUAAAUUAUGGCUUAUUGUAGAUUGGAUCUAUUUUUAACAAAUUAAGGUUCUUAACCUAAGGAGUACGCUUUCACUUGUGAAACUUAAAUGUUCUGGUGGUGGUUUAGAACAAUAGUGGAAUAGAUGAUUUAAUUCGAUAUUAUGCGA